RNAcentral lists this ribosomal RNA (465 nucleotides) under uncultured Klebsiella sp. RNAcentral's name for it is "bacterial SSU rRNA". It matches the Rfam family "Bacterial small subunit ribosomal RNA", at positions 338 to 795 of the family's 1533-position model. The record is from RNAcentral. Lineage: Bacteria; Pseudomonadati; Pseudomonadota; Gammaproteobacteria; Enterobacterales; Enterobacteriaceae.
CCUACGGGUGGCAGCAGUGGGGAAUAUUGCACAAUGGGCGCAAGCCUGAUGCAGCCAUGCCGCGUGUGUGAAGAAGGCCUUCGGGUUGUAAAGCACUUUCAGCGGGGAGGAAGGCGGUGAGGUUAAUAACCUCAUCGAUUGACGUUACCCGCAGAAGAAGCACCGGCUAACUCCGUGCCAGCAGCCGCGGUAAUACGGAGGGUGCAAGCGUUAAUCGGAAUUACUGGGCGUAAAGCGCACGCAGGCGGUCUGUCAAGUCGGAUGUGAAAUCCCCGGGCUCAACCUGGGAACUGCAUUCGAAACUGGCAGGCUAGAGUCUUGUAGAGGGGGGUAGAAUUCCAGGUGUAGCGGUGAAAUGCGUAGAGAUCUGGAGGAAUACCGGUGGCGAAGGCGGCCCCCUGGGCAAAGACUGACGCUCAGGUGCGAAAGCGUGGGGAGCAAACAGGAUUAGAUACCCCAGUAGUC